AUUGAACGCUGGCGGCAUGCCUUACACAUGCAAGUCGAACGGUAACAGGUCUUCGGAUGCUGACGAGUGGCGAACGGGUGAGUAAUACAUCGGAACGUGCCCGAUCGUGGGGGAUAACGAAGCGAAAGCUUUGCUAAUACCGCAUAAGAUCUACGGAUGAAAGCAGGGGACCGCAAGGCCUUGCGCGAACGGAGCGGCCGAUGGCAGAUUAGGUAGUUGGUGGGAUAAAAGCUUACCAAGCCGACGAUCUGUAGCUGGUCUGAGGGGACGACCAGCCACACUGGGACUGAGACACGGCCCAGACUCCUACGGGAGGCAGCAGUGGGGAAUUUUGGACAAUGGGCGAAAGCCUGAUCCAGCCAUGCCGCGUGCAGGAUGAAGGCCUUCGGGUUGUAAACUGCUUUUGUACGGAACGAAAAGACUCUGGUUAAUAACUGGGGUACAUGACGGUACCGUAAGAAUAAGCACCGGCUAACUACGUG
Molecule: ribosomal RNA, 482 nt
Filed under: uncultured bacterium
Lineage: Bacteria
Description: partial 16S ribosomal RNA
Rfam family: Bacterial small subunit ribosomal RNA
Source: RNAcentral